GACGAACGCUGGCGGCGUGCCUAAUACAUGCAAGUUGAGCGCUGAAGGUUGGUACUUGUACCGACUGGAUGAGCAGCGAACGGGUGAGUAACGCGUGGGGAAUCUGCCUUUGAGCGGGGGACAACAUUUGGAAACGAAUGCUAAUACCGCAUAAAAACUUUAAACACAAGUUUUAAGUUUGAAAGAUGCAAUUGCAUCACUCAAAGAUGAUCCCGCGUUGUAUUAGCUAGUUGGUGAGGUAAAGGCUCACCAAGGCGAUGAUACAUAGCCGACCUGAGAGGGUGAUCGGCCACAUUGGGACUGAGACACGGCCCAAACCCCUACGGGAGGCAGCAGUAGGGAAUCUUCGGCAAUGGACGAAAGUCUGACCGAGCAACGCCGCGUGAGUGAAGAAGGUUUUCGGAUCGUAAAACUCUGUUGGUAGAGAAGGACGUUGGUGAGAGUGGAAAGCUCAUCAAGUGACGGUAACUACCCAGAAAGGGACGGCUAACUACGUG
Molecule: ribosomal RNA, 497 nt
Filed under: uncultured bacterium
Lineage: Bacteria
Description: partial 16S ribosomal RNA
Rfam family: Bacterial small subunit ribosomal RNA
Source: RNAcentral